This is a long non-coding RNA of Dermacentor albipictus, 2311 nucleotides long. RefSeq lists it as uncharacterized. The record is from RefSeq and is a predicted model, not a curated record. NCBI's taxonomy places the organism in Eukaryota, Metazoa, Arthropoda, Arachnida, Ixodida, Ixodidae.
GCUCGCUCGACGGGUUUAAAAGGAUACGCGUCCGUGUGGAACGUUUCCAGGUGGGGCCGCUUCGGGUAGCGGUCGCAUCACCGGUGCUGUCGCUUUGUACAUCAACAACGACACAACGAGACGGCCCAUUCGGCGGCGCGAGCGCUUACCUUCUGCGCCCCCGAGAGCGACCGUUCCGUGUGGUGGUUCGAAACCAAGGACAGAUUGACCAGUUAUGCCGAAGUAACCAAGUGUACAAUGCUGCCUCCCCACCCGGCACUCAGUCGGGAGGAGGCCGUAAUCCUAAGGCAAAUACAGACCGCGUCACUCCUCGCCCCCGCAAUGGUGCACGUGCUUCAUCCAGAGCUCUAUCCGAGUGGGCUGCGCGGUAUUUGUGCAGCGGGUCCGGCGGACCAAUGGCACAUCAUGUGGGACUGCGCUAAGUUCCCGACGGCAGCUACCUCCAGGACUUACCCGCCCGAACUUCAAGGUGCACUGCAGUCUGCAGACAAGGACUCACAACUAUGGGCCGUCCAGCAGACCCGGGGAGCGCUCGAAAAGCACAAGCCUCAUGACCCACUACAAACGGGCCCAACUGGGGUAGUGCAGAGUAGGGUAUAACCCUGGGUCGACACUUGUCCAGCAUUACGACGCGUUAAACCGUCAUUUGCCGACAUUUUAAUAAAGUUACCCCUAUAGUAAAUCGGAAGACAAGCGCGCCCUUUCAGGCUUCCGUGCUGUGAGACAUAAACCCGAGAACAGUUCAAUCGAGGCUGGCUGCAGAGCUGCACGCGAAAGCAGCUGAACGGUCCUGCUUCUUCAUAUUUGCCCCCACAUUUGGCAGACCAUCAUUUUCGACCUACUUACACCAAAGGUAGCCAUAAAAGCCAAGAAGAAGCAUAUUACGAUAUGUGUGAGCUCCUUCUUCCUUUUUCUUCUAUUUUCUUCUUUUUUCUUCUUUUUUUUGAAGAGGAGGUGACUCUGUGCAUCUAAAAAGUGAUUGAUUUGUUUUCGUAAGGGAAGCAAAACUGCUUACAUUUUGACGCCAUUACAAGCGCCAUGCUACUCCCUUCUCGGGCACACAAGUGUAGCAGUUGCUGGAACUCCUUCCUGAAGUCCCGGAAAAUUUUCACAUGCACACACGAGGCUUAUGUGUUCGCUGGCUCGCACGCUCUUUCAUUUGUUGGUUCGUUCGCCACCCGCCGUGGUUGCUCAGUGGCUAGGUUGUUGGGCUGCUGAGCAUGAGGUGGCGGAAUUGAAUCCCGGCCUCGGCGACCGCAAUUUGAUGGGGGCGAAAUGCCAAAACAGCCGUGUACCUAGAUUCAGGCGCACGUUAAGGAACCCCAGCGGGUCGAAAUUUCCGCAGACCUCCUCCAGUACGGCGUGCCUCAUAAUCAGAAAGUGGUUUUGGCACGUAAAUACCCAUAAUUAAAAAUUUUUGCGUUCACUCACUCACUCACUCACUCACUCACUCACUCACUCACUCACUCACUCACUCACUCACUCACUCACUCACUCAGUCACUCACUCACUCACUCACUCACUCACUCACUCACUCACUCACUCAAUCACUCGCUCACUCACUCACUCACACACUCACUCACUCACGCACUCACUACAUUUCUAUGGUCUGCGCAGAACACUUUGGUUGAACAGUCAUUGCGACACGCCUUUGACCGCUGUCAUAUUCUCGCCGGUUCCUUCCCAAGACCUAUUCAUAAGCCCCGAAAACGAGGCUGCUGUCUCGAAAAUAAAUCAUAAUCACUAACGCGUGGGCUGGUCAGAUCCAACACUGGUCCCAGGUAACAACAAGACGGGCGUUUGAUAAUUGUUUUCUUUAAUACAGGCCUCCAACGAAAAGACCCACUGGUAUUGCUAAAUUUGUCAGUUCAAGGCCCUUGCUUCGGGGUGCAUUCUGCGUAUCCGAUAGCACUGUCAUUGUUUAAAAGCACGUACAUGAAACUCACCCUUGCCUUGCGUGGUGCACAGGCACGUGUCUGCAUGCCCCCCCCCCCCGGUCCCCUUUUGGAAUCUUAAAAGAGAUAAAAAUUUAUCCACCAUUCACACGAUUCGUAUCUCGCGUGGGCUCGAUACAAAAUCUCUAAAUGAUAUAUACACAGAGAGGUGCAUAUAAGUGCGACCUCGCUUAUACAUGCCAACAGGCCAAGGUCUGACGUCGUAAAGCGGGCCUCCUGGGAGACGCUCUCUUCCCCCUCGGGCCAACGUAAAGAUUCGCGCGGAUAUCAGAACGUCUCUUUCGGUUUCUUUCUUUUUUUCUUUUUGUUUUGUUUUGUUUGGUCUUUUUUUUUUAUUCGCGCGAUUGGUCUCUCGC